AUACAAAAAUUGUACCGAAAAUCACAAAGGGAACCUCAUGGCCUGUCACCCACGCGAGAACCCUCCACAAAAUCCAGUAACGAAGAACAGUGUAUCUACUCUACGAAAGCUUUGAAAUCUAAACUAGAGCAUGAGAAAGCGAAAAACCUAAGCUAAGUGCAAAGUCUGUCACCCAAUGCACAUACCUAUUCUAUUUUACAAAACUCCUUUAUAUAGGAGAAAA
Molecule: long non-coding RNA, 223 nt
Filed under: Vigna radiata
Lineage: Eukaryota; Viridiplantae; Streptophyta; Magnoliopsida; Fabales; Fabaceae
Description: long non-coding RNA (VRAD_LNC000924)
Source: RNAcentral